Molecule: long non-coding RNA, 1064 nt
Filed under: Homo sapiens (human)
Lineage: Eukaryota; Metazoa; Chordata; Mammalia; Primates; Hominidae
Description: PREDICTED lncRNA (TCONS_00209816)
Source: RNAcentral
CUUACCGCUAUCAACGUAUUUUCUGGUGUUUUCACAGUGCUGCGCUUCCUAAUCCCCAUUCCAUGGCAAUCCACAUGCCAUGAUGCCCGGAGUCAUUAACAAAGGAGACACACAGGGGCUCCUCACGUUGGCUUUCCAGGGUUUUGAUGAAAAUCUGUUUCCUCGUCUCAUACAAUGUGGCUGUACAGGAAGCAUGGUGAUGGCAUCUGCAUGGCGCCUGUGGAGGCCCCAGGGAGCUUUUACUCAUGAUGGAAGGCACAGAGGGAGUAGGCACAUCACAUGGUCCGAGGAGGAGCAAGAGAAAAUGGGAGUGGGGCUCUUUGUCCUGGGAAGAGUUUGCUGCAUCUUCCAGUUUCAGUAAUCAAAGAAGCAAAGUUCCCUGCAGUUCUUCAAGGAACCUUGAGAAUUCAGAAGGUCUUGGGGUGGCUGCAUCCAUCCUGCAGACAAAUGCCAAUCAGCAGAGGGGCCAUUCCCAGGGACACAUGUCUGGCUGACUUGGGCCUUGGCCAGGCUUUGGAUUCACCUUGAAAACAUCCCCUCUGAACAUCAGAAGUCCACUUGGUCCCCGAACAGUGUAUUAACUUCUAACAUUUCUGACUUCCAGUCAUGGAGAUUUCAAAACCAAUUGCAUAUAGCAAUGAAGCUUUUCACUUUUAAUGGAACAUUUAGGAGAAGGGCGGCUUUUCCUAUUUUCUGUGUUAUCUUCAGCCUGUUAACUGUUGUCAGCCCUGGAGAGAAACCAUCCCUUCUCCUUAAAAACAUGAACCACAUACUAAGUUGCUUCUUGCCUCUUAAAGAUUCAGGUCACUCAGGUACAUCAGACUGAGACAGGACGCUCAGGUACAUCAUACUGAGACAGGACACUCAGGUACAUGAUACUGAGACAAACACUCAGGUACAUCAUACUGAGACAGGACGCUCAGGUACAUCACACCGAGACAGGACAUGUUGAUUGUUGGUGUGUAUUUCUCCCAAGCCACCACUCAAACCAGUGUUUGAUUUCCAUGGAGGUUGGCUGAUGGCUUUUAGCUUGAGCCCCAACAGUGUGACUUCAUACAAGGCAA